GACGAACGCUGGCGGCGUGCUUAAUACAUGCAAGUCAACUUGACUUUAGAUAGCAAUAUCGAAAAGUAGGGUGGCGCACGGGUGCGUAACGCGUGGGUAAUCUGCCCUGAGGUCUGACAUAACCCGUCGAAAGGCGGGCUAACAUCAGAUGAUAUAUAAUCACGACAUCGUGGAAAUAUCAAAUCUUCGGAGCCUUGGGAUGAGCCUGCGUCUGAUUAGGUAGUUGGCGGAGUAAUAGCCCACCAAGCCUACGAUCAGUAGCUGGUCUGAGAGGAUGAUCAGCCACACUGGAACUGAGACACGGUCCAGACUCCUACGGGAGGCAGCAGUAAGGAAUAUUGCUCAAUGGGGGAAACCCUGAAGCAGCAACGCCGCGUGAAGGAUGAAAUACUUUUGUAUGUAAACUUCUGUAAGAUGGGAAAAAUAUUCUCCUCGGGAGAAUUGAUUGUACCAUCAGAGUAAGCCCCGGCUAACUACGUGCCAGCAGCC
This 489-nucleotide ribosomal RNA is filed under the name uncultured bacterium. Its description in RNAcentral is "bacterial SSU rRNA". It matches the Rfam family "Bacterial small subunit ribosomal RNA", at positions 28 to 516 of the family's 1533-position model. The record is from RNAcentral.